GGGGCCGGGCGGGGCCAGCAGAGGCAGCAGCGCGUGGGAGCCGCGGCUGGCUGAGGGGGCGCGCGAUGCCGCGCGCACCGCCACGCUGGGACUCCAACCGCCACUCCCGCCCCUCACGGCAACAGCGAUGGUGCCAUUACCGGCCCCAGCCCGGCCCGCACCAGGACCCCACAAGCCUACCGCUCACCCCAGCACUUCUUCGCGCCAGCCUGCGCCCGCCCCUUCCCGUUCCGGGAGGACGGCAGCUUCCCCAGGCCCUAGCGCUCGGGCUGGGGACCGAGCUCAGGAGGAGGAGGUGGUGCAGCCUUCGCCCCGCCCCACACAGCGGCGCCGUUGCCCGGCAGCCGCUUCCAUGGGUUCGCUGCGGGAGCGCUGUGCCAGGGUUUUUGAAGCGUGUGAUGAAGGUAACAAAGGCUAUUUGAACAGAGAGGACUUUGAGGUUGCCGUAGUAAUGUUGUUUGGUUAUAAGCUCUCAGAGGUGGAGGUGGAUUCGAUAAUGUCUUCUGUGAGACCAGGAAAUUCAGGUAUAUUAUUUGAAAAGUUUUUAAAUCUCAUGAGUGCAAAGAAAUCUGCACAACUACAUAGUGAUGAAACAAGAGAAAUAUUCACAGCGUUUGACAUGCAAGAUAGAGGAUUCUUGACUUUUGAAGACUUUAAGAAAACCAUCAAUUCUGUUCUUCCAAAAUUAUCUGAAAGAAUCAUAAUUGAAGCCUUCAGAGAGGUUGAUCAGGAUUCUGAUGGGUGCAUCAGCUUCAAAGAGUUUGAAUGUGCAAUGAAGCACGGACAAGAUGAAGUAUCACCAUUGUACUUCGCCUGAAGAAUGCUCUCUGGUGAAAAGACAAAGUGAAAACUUCAGAUCUCGAGUUAUUUAAAAAUCAAUGAAACUUCAUUUGUUUCAGCCAGCAUUUUAAGAACUUUGACUGUAAGUGUAGCUCUGAAGAACAGCCUUUGAAGCUUUACUGUUGACAAGUUGGGUGUAUUAAUUUACAUGUGUAUGUGUGCAUAGAAUACUUAAAAUAUUUGAAAACUCAGUUGAUUCCCAGUCACCCUAGUUAGGAAAUGCAACUCUGUACUUUUUGGCUUAGCAGAUAGAAAAGACCUGACUCUGAUUUCCAGUUAUUGUAAAAUGUACGCAUUUGAUUUUUCAACAGCCUUUUGUUGACUGACCAAAAUACCUACCAAAAUAUGUAGAAACUGAUUAAGAUUAUAGUGGAUAAUUCUUGUUUGUUAGAAAUUAAUAGUAUAUUUGUCUUUCCUUUACGGUUUCACUUUCAUAUAGUGCUCUUUUUUAUAUUGCAAGCUAUUUUUAAUUUAACAGUUUUGAGAACAGCCCUUCUCAUGUGAACUUACAGACUGUAGCACACACUUAAUGCUACUGUAAAUAAAUAAACCAAUAAUAAUGAUCAGUAAGAGGAAAAGAGUAUCAGUUCUACUGUUAAGUCAAAAGAGAAAUCUGCAAUAUCUUCCUAACUUUAGUGGGGUAUUCCAAAAUAUAAUAUGUGGGCAAAUUGUUUAUGAAAUAACAUCUAUGUUUUCUGUUUCAAUUUCAUACAUGCACCUUACUAGAUACACAAAAAGUGGAAUCUUCUUUAAUUCCAAGGCAGAUGGUACAUAAAUAAUGGGAUGAAAUUGGAGGCACUGAAUAUAUGAGCAGAUAUAUCCGAUUCUAUGUUCAAGAACCAGGUAUCCAUUAGAUGAAAUGAGCUGUAACUCAAACAGCAUGCUUUCUGUGCUAAUCAGGGCAAGAGAAAUGGUGUUACCUUUUAAAGGUGGUGGAAAGACCUGAUAAUAGAUUGAGAGUUAGCCUUAGAAAUGCUAUUUCCCAAUAGAUGAAUGUUUUCAUAAGAGAAUCAUCACCAUGGAUGUUAAUUAGCAAUAUCAUCACAGUCUCUGCUGAGACACAGAAGAUUGAAUUAUUAUCCCAUAGGGACAGUUGCUACAGGUCUAGCCACAUUCAUGGAAAAAAAUGUAUGAUGGGUUGCUGUGCUAUUACUUACACUACAUUUUUUUGGUCAGUGUACUUCAGUCUACUGACUCAGGUGUCCGGUCCCUAUACCUGUCCCAAACACUAAUUUCAUGAAGUAUUAUUUUAUUUAUCUCAAACUAAUUAUUUAUUAAGGAGCAACUGAUGUGAAGUUUCUAUCUUACAGAAAUCUCAUUUUCAGCACUAGAUUCCAUUUAGCCAUUAAAAAGUCUAUGAUGUCUUGUUAGUAUUACUAGCCAGUGUUUAUCAGAGUUUGAUUAGCAGACUGUAGAACACUUCAGCUAUCACUGCAAAUUGAUAAAAUUAGGAAUGACAUUUAGUGGCGUGGGUGAAGUGGGAGGUUAUUCUCACUAAUGAUUUGGGAAACAAAAACAGCAGCUACCCAAGGAUUGGAUGAAAGAUGCUUUUCAUUUUUGUGUAAGUUCCAUUGCUGAUGUAACAGCUUCCUUUUUGGUCAACAGGAAAGGACUAGUAGAGCUGUGAUCAGCAUAGCUUACCAACUAUAACACUAGGGUUACUUAAAGGGGAAUAUACACUCACCAACAGGUUACGUUCUUACUUGUAAUACUUCCUAGCAACAAUGAUAGAAGCUCAGCAGGAAAAAAAAGUUUAGCUUAAUGACAACCAUCUUUGGCAGAAUCUUGGGAGCCAAAUUGGGUCUGAACCUCUAUGAAUGGAAAGCUGAACAUAAGAGCAAGUAAUUACUGAUACGUCCUAUGGAACAGCACAGAGUUCUCAUGGUCACUACCUCCUGAAUGGUUACUGCAGCAGCAUCUAUCCUCACACAGGAUUCCAUUAUCAAAGUACUCCACAAACACAUCUCUUGAAUAUACACACUCUGGAAAGUGGUAAAUGGGCAUUUGUCAAUACAUCUGAUUGCAACCACCGCCUGAAGACGGAGAUCCUUUAGCAAGAGGCCCGAGAACUGGACACAUGAAGGAGAUUCAGGCACAGGAGGAAAAAAAAAAGGAAGAAGCUCAGGAGAAGCAGGCUACCACCAGUAGCUGAAUGGGUGGAUCUCCGAAGAGGCCUGAGUCGCUUCAAUGGCUUUUCAGUACAGAUAAGUUACAGUUUUUUCUGCUCUGGCGCAUCCUCUGAAGGCUGAGAUGAAAGACAUGAUUCACUAGACUAAGACAUAUCCUGAAUCAAGAUGCCAGCCCCCUCCUGCACCCCACGCUCCAGAGGCUGGUCUGCUGAAUGAUGGCUGUAUCUGCCCCGAGGACACUGUGAGCCCCACUCCCAGGGUGAGAGGAGAAUGAUGGCAAAAGAAUUUGGUAUAUCCUUGCUCCCACCUUCCUGUUCUUGAAAGCACAGGACAUCUGUGGGAGGAUUAUCUCUGGAGGCCUUGAUGGAGAGUACCAACCAGUCUUCAUGUGAAGACACUCUGCGUUCCUCAGCACUUACCCGUGAUCUGCAUCCUUGACAGAUUAAUCUUAAUGUUACAAAUGCCUGCAUAGUUGAUGCCCUCAGCCAGGACCUUGCAGCUUGAGAGAUGUGUCCCCAGACCCCCCUAACCCAGCUGAGGAUGGAGGGAGCAGCCUGGUACACCCCAAGUACACUUCUCCUCCCAGUUAGGAAGACAUUAUUGCUGCCAGAGUACACGCUGUCCAUUCUUUAACCAGACAAGACUGGAUAAGAAAGGUAUAUGGAUGGUUUAUACAGGCAAGACAAGGGACAAAAAUACUGGUAGGUAACAGUGAAAGUUGUAACUAAAGAAAAGAGCUGUAGAGAGAAAAAAAAUGCCAGUCUGCUUUAUCAAUUAAGAUCUCAAGCUGUUUCACCACUUCCUAGCCCAGGAAACUGGCUUCCUCCUCAGCCCCCCUCCUCCCCCCCAGCCAGGUGUGCACUGGGGCUGCCUAGUGCUGCUCCCCCAGGCAGGGAGGUGGGCCCCUGUUCCUGAUAGCCAGGAAUCUUAUGUUAAGGAUGUGGUGGUAAAAUGUCAUAAAUUGCAAUAAUUGAGGGGAACAAAGGCACUUUACUAUCACUUCAUUAGAAUUGCACUAUCCUUUCUAUGCUGAGCUUUUUUUUUUUUUAAAGACCAGAAAUGAUGUGACCAUUAGAUAAAGCAUCCAUCUCCAUGUAUCUGUACAGUUAAUUUAAGGGUGACACUCUUAGCCGGGUCCCAUCAGGAGGAAAAGGAUAAUACACUAUUAAAGUUGCAAUUACUGUAUUAGGCUCAAAAUGUAAAUCCAUAUACCAGCUGUUAUAAUCUAGCAAAGAAGGAGGGGGAAGUCUGGCAAAUAGUUCUUGUGGGCUUUUAUAUAGCUGCUCAUAACAGUGAAAUUAAAUGAAUACAUGUGUAUGUGUGUACAGCUAGAUUUAUAGACUCUCUUUAAAAUGUAAGCACUUCAGGUCCCGCUGAAGUAGCAGAAAACAAGCUGGGAUUGUUCCACCUGCAUAACUGGCCUUCAGCUUCCCAGUGUUCAGAUAUACUUUGCAAUGCCAGAGGGACUCACCUACUCCUCAACCUCAACUGUUUCUUGGGGCAGGUGUGGGAAUUCAGAGGGUUGACCUUUGGAGCACUGUGAAGCAGAGAGGAAGCUAAUGCUGCAAAGAGUGUUUCCUUUGGCAAGUGCUACCCCCUUCCCUGUGCCAGGACCCCUCUGUGAACCAAAGCCUUCAGGGCACCAGUACUGGCUGCAGCACAAAGCCAUGUUUAGUAGCUGUGAUUUUUUUUUUCUUAUGUAUUUUCUCUCCUUUAGAUAUUCUUGGCUAGAUCUCUAGCAACCUACUGUAGCUUUGCUACAGCUUUGCUUUGCUUGCUUCAGCAGAGAUUUGUCAAUUUGGAGUAGCUGAGGGCAUAACCCUCACUCCAGAGAGAUGAAAUGCCUUGUUCAGACACCAGUACCUUAAUGGAGCUGGGAACAGCACAUACGUGGAAUGUUCACAGUAAGAGCUUCUCUUCAUGUGCCACCUGCUACCAGAAUGGUCUGGAGAUCUGCAGGAGGUGCCCUUCAGUAGCUGAAAUGGCACAGCUGCUUUUUCAGUGAUGAGAAAUAACAUUUCUGAGCUCACUGAGCACAGUCCAGGAGCACAUACGAUCGUAUUCUAGAAGGAACCACUCUGCCUUUGGGUACCCUGUGAUUUCAUCUCCUUUACUUUUCAACUUUCCCUCUUACUGCAACUGUGCUGUUGCCAGCCUUUGCUAUUUCAUAUGAAUACAGCUUGUUUCAGCUUUUCAAAGUCAUCCUGCAUGAUAUUCCUACCCUUUGCUGCACUGGUGAUGCUUCCUAAAUUUGUGACAUCAGAAAACUUUUCUAAUACAAAUUUAUAUUUUAAAGUAAUAUCACUGUAACUUCCUUCUUGCAUAUACCUCUAAUGAAAUUGUCGUACAGGAGCAGUCCAUGAAUGGUACUUUAUGUCCCUCCUUGUGUGGAAAGCUCUGUUGGUGUGGUCCUUCCUUUUCCAUCAAAGCCCGCUGUCCUGUUGCUCUGGCCUGAUCAAUGUCUACUACAUAGCUGUGCUGUGAAUUGCACAGGCUGAUUUAAAUGGUAAAUUCCCCCAUGCCACUAUAGUAAAUGCUUUGCCAAAGUCCAAAUAACUGUAAUUUUGUUUCUUCUGUUUUCCCUUUGGGGAUAAAUAGCAGAUAACUUUUGGUAAGUUCAGACUACUUCUCCCUUCCCUCCCAUAUAUUUAAAAAUUAUCCAAGCAAAAGGAUAUACAUCCGCUCCAGUAACUUUUCAUUUCCCAGUGUAGGUGUUACCUGUGGUGUUCUCCAGGAAGCCUGUGCCCCUUUAUGGUGGUAUUCAGUGUCCUGGUUGCUCAGAAGCAGGAGGGAGCUCACCCCACUGCUGGUCCAUCCAUCCGCAUCUAAACACACAGCAUUUCCACUUUCUCUUCCAUUAUCCAUCCUUUAAAUAUAGUCUAUCCUUCAUUGAGUUCAGUAUUGCUCUUAUUACAGAAAACAGAAGCACCCAUUUAUAUUUGGAGCCAUGUUUGAUUCUCUCUGAUCUUUACAUCGUUCCCAUCAGUUCCAUGCUUUCCCCUCAAUCUCCUUUUAUUUAUAUAAAUUAGGAGCCAUUUAUUUUCUUUGCAAUGCUUCACUUUCAGCAUUUUCCACCGUAUUUCUGCACUCUCUGAGCUCCAAGUCAGUUUUCCUAUCUGAUGCUUCUUCCUUUCCAUGCCGUGUAAGUGCUCAGAUUGCUUGGACUUAAAGUGAUUAAGUUGGCUUUGUUUUAAAAGAGAUAUGAGGUUCUGUGGCAAGAGGCAUGUCCCAUGUGCCUUGGCCCCAUCCUUUGGUGGUAGUGGCACUGUGAGCAGGGUCAUCUCCACUCCUUGGAGUGGGACAGAGGAAACCAGAGCUUGGCAGUGCCUUAGAUUUUUGCCAGGAGAUAAAUAGGUCAAUAUAUUUCAGGACUGCACUGGCAACCUGGUAUGUCUGAUCUGUGAGUAAUAGCCAUUUUGAAGUGAUUAUUCAUCCUGUUAGAUCUGAAGCAUCUCUCUAGGAGUGUUGUUUUUCUGCCCUCCUAACUUACGUGAAGGUUUCUUUGAUGUGAAUGUCAAGUCCUCUUUAAACUGAAGUUAUUUGGUCAACUUAUUUUCACUAGUUGUUUCCUGGUGGUUCAAUAAAUAGUCGCAGAUCUAUUUUUGUUGACUCUUUGAUUUAAUUUUAAGUGAACCAGCCCAUGCUUGCUCGUUGCAGAAUUUUUGUCUAUGAUUAGCUCUUGCAUGAGCUUUUCUGCUUACCAAAACCAGGUCUUAAAUGCAGCUCCCUGUAUCGACUCCUUGGUGAGGAGAUCUGAUGCUCUCAUUGAGCACCUGGACCAUAAUACUGCUGGCUGCAUUUGUUCUGCACUGUAGGCAUUGGAUAUGGUAUUGCUGCGAAUGCAUUAUGGAACUAAAGCUUUUCUUGAUGUUGUUCUCCAGUUGCUCAAAGGUUCAGUAGAACCAACUUUUACUGUCCUUCCUUGGAAUUAUUCUGGCUUCAACAGAUUUGCCUUCAGCCUGUACUGCCUUGUCUUUGCUUUAUAACCUAUCACACUGUGGUGCUAUAACAUCCGUCUGCCAAGAUAAUCUUUAUUUCCAUCUUUCCUGAACUGUAUGUACCUUUCAAGGAUUCGCAGAGCACAGGUAAAUAGAGUAGCUUUCAGGACAGUGUUUUCCUUAUGCCUUUCAAGUUCUUUAUUCUGCUGUAGUGGAGACUGAGUAGCCAUUUCUCCAGCUUUUUGUAACCUUAUUUCCUGCCUUAGGCUGGCAGGGAGUAGAGGCAUGUACUUUCACACUAAUCACAUGGGGUUUCUCAUACUGAAUUUUACUGUGGGAUUCCAACAGUAAUAAUAUUUCUUUUUAAAAAAAUUCGAAGGCUUGCUUUCCAAAUGUGCAAAAAGAAAAAAGCACUAAAAUCUUCCCCUGGAAACCUGUUUGUCUUGUCUGAGGAACAGGUAUUUCAGGGUCUUCAUUAGGAAUAUCUGAGCUCUGCAGAUGCCAUGCUAAUGUUUGCCUCCACUCUGGAUGACACCAGUGCUCUUAGCAUGUUCACCACCUAUCUUCCCCAUCUGAGACAACGACCUCCUUGGGUUUUCCCCAUCCUUUAUUGUAUAUUCCACUAUCCAUCUGCUAUUAAUCACUCAUAAACCUAGCCUAAUCAUGACAAAUAUGUGAAGAACUAAUUUGCUGUUCACAAGAUGAGAUGAAUUAGGUUGAAUAAUGAAGGCACUGAUGCCACUAACUUGAUUUGAUUUGUAUAUGUUUAGACACAUUUAAAGUCAAUGGAGAAGUAUUUGCAACUUGCAAGGCUCAAAUGUUUCCUGGUUAUUAUCUUCCCUUUUGUAAUAAUCAAAUUCAUUUGCAGAUAACUACAAGAAAGCAACCCAAUAACAAAAGAUUUAUACCAUGUUGGCAGUUGAAAUGGUCAUUUGAUUUCCAAUGGGAGUCUGUUGGCAGGUAGAUCCUCAGCAGUGCUCAUUUUCAGUUCUACCUAUUUAUGCAAUCUGUAUGAUUUACCAUGCCACGGAGAAGAGUCUAUUACAGCUUCUGCAAGUAAACUAGAUGCUAUGUUAGAUAGCCAAGUUUCCUAGAGCUAUUAGCCAUACAAAUACAAGAUAAAUUGUUUUCCUUGUGUUAGGAAAUCAAGGUGAGCCUGCUAAAAACAAUAACAAUAUAUCAAUAUCUUAAGUUUUCUAUUAAGCUCCGUUUGCCUGCAGCUCUUAGAGCUGAAGGCAGAAUGGGUUGACCAGCUCAAGGAAGUAACACUUCCAACAUCCCAAUUCAAAAGGGCACAUGGCCGGACUGUGGAAAAGAAGCUUGUACGUUAUAAAGUAAUGUUUUCUUGAAUCAAGAACCUGAUGUCAAUCACGUUUUUCAGUUGCAGAAGCCUGUUGUUUAUUGCAGCGGCACAUUUUGUGUAAGUUCCUUCCUGAUUUACAAUGAUUCACAUUGAUAGACUUCUAGUCUAUGACACCGCCAUCACAAAUGGUAAUUUAUAACAGCUUUAGCUCUGCUCUUUCAGUGCUGGCUUUCAAGGACUGGAGCCAAGAGCUAUUCACCAGAAGUAAAUCUGGGAGGAAGUUCACUUACUAUGAAUAUUAAUUAAUGUUUAUAUACUACGGUUUAUUUUGUUAUGCAGUGAUUUAAUUCAGGCCAUCCAGAAUAGUGCUGUAUGGUUGAAGAGAAUCAGUAGCCAUGUGCUCAAUUCAUUUCAGAGAUAAACCUGCUUCCAUUCAUUUUCUUUUAUGGCAUAACCUGAAAACAAGCUUUCGUCAACAUGGCAGAAAGGAGAGUGUGUAAGGCGGUGACAAGUGGUGCUUCUCUGUUCUCUGUAAUUAUGCAAUAAAGAGAAGAUGUUCAGAUUCACCUCCAAGCCCUUCCCCUGUGUUGCUCUUCCCAUGUGAGAGUUAACCUCUUUACUUUGCUGCUUUCUUCUUAUUCAGACUAAUCAUCUCCUUGCGGAGAUGCCAGUGGAAGUGAUUGAGACAAAGGGGCGUAGCAUCAUCUUGAUGCUGAAGAGCUUUCAGAGGAGGUAAGUGUGUGACUUCCCAGCAGAGCAAGUGGAGAAUAAGCAGCUGAAAAAUCUUUCUUCAUUUCUAAGAAAAACAGGAAUGGCCAGGCCAUUGCCGAGUGCUGACAUGUUUGUAUUGUUUGUGUUGCAUUGUUUUGUAAUCAAAAGUCAGUAUUUAUUGGACUAUACUCUCAAAAGGUCUCAUCUCAAAAUACUCUCAUAUCAGAAUCUGUGAUAAGACUAAAAACCCUGAUGGAAACUUAGCCCCAGCAAUUUUUUUUUCUGACAUCAGCUCUUCCGUGCCUUAAAGUAUAACCCCAAAGCCCUGAGCUCUCCACUAAGGAGGCUGGAUGUGGGAGCCAGCCAGCAGAGCCUGCUGCGUCCAAGCCCUCUUUGUAAGAGAGGUGGCUGUGGCUCUGGACAGUCUCUGGACUGCCUCCUUCCUUCUGCCUGCAGAGCACAGCCAUGGCCUCUCAGAAAGCUGCUGCUGGUGCCUGUCCUUGCCCUGUGGCUACACCAGCCUAGGGAGACCCUUCCAUGCAUCUUGCAUGCAUGGUAUAGCAGAUAAGCCACAAAUAGUUUGUGCCUACUUCAGUAAGUAGCUCACCGAUGUAGCAUACCAUUGUAAUGGAGAAAAAACCCUAAUUCCAUUAAAUUGGAUGUUAGGCAUAAUAGCUGGACCCUUAAGGUUAAAGAAAUCCGAUCCAUUCAGGUGGCACAGAACAGCCUUCAGUGCAUUGCACAGCCUAAGGAGAGAGCAGAGUGUUGCCCACUGUAUUUACUAUCAUGUUUGUUUUGGGAGCUAAAUUAUUCUUACUAAUUCUGCUAGCAGUGUAAUACGCUGUCUCAGUAAUGGAAAGCAUAUGAAAGCAAGCAGAUGGCGAGAGCAGAAAAAACCCAAGCAUGUCCUGAUAAUGUAGUAAGCAAGUUCAUUUUUUUGGCAUUAGGCUUUCAUAACCGAGGCAUGGUGAUAACAAGUACAGACACAUUUUUAAAGCGCAGUUCAUCAAAAAAUAUAGCCAGUUUCAUUGCAGAGCAAUGGAAGAUUACUUUGAGACUUUUAUAUAGAUAAAAGCUAGAUGUGAAUGUUGUUGAAUUAGACCCAUCAUUUAUUAUUGCUGGCAGAUGAGUGACAGCAGAUACUGGUCAGAGUGAUGCCAUCGCAGUCCUGUGAUCGCACGUAUCUUCACGAAUGUAGAGUUUCUCACCCGUUCACUUGCAAAUAUGUAGCCACCCUGUAUGCCAGAAAAACCACAGGCACUUUGAUACAGGGUGUUAUCGCAGUGGGCAGUAUUGGAAAUUCCAAGUAUUUUAUUUUGCUUCUAAAGCUUUCAGUCUCUGGUUGGAAGUUGUGAAGCUCAAGGCUGCUGCUGCUUCAAUAUCUGCGUAUCUGCAGCACGUGUGGAUCCCACCUGGUUUGGCCCCAUUCCCUGCGAGGAGGGCACUGCAUGGGGAGUGCUCAGCAUGUCUAGAGAAGAGUGGCCUCGCCUCUCUGCUGAAGCAAACAGUCCUGGCAUGGAGUUUUGGGGGGGAGGAGGCGGUGGAAGUAACUUGACUACCUCCAACCCACAUUUUUUUUGUUGUUUUUUUUUUGUCUCUCAGGCCAAGAUAUGGGCAGAAGCAAGGCCAGAUUCACUGUUUACACAAUCUAUCACUUUAAGGUUCUUCAGAGAAGGGAUACAUUAAUUUUUGUUAUGAUUUCACUUUGAAGCAGCGCAGCUGCAUCUUUGUGUGACAUGUCAAGUGGCUCCAGCCGUGCAUUGUGAGAUGGGGCUGCAAGCAAAGCCCUGCCCUCAGCUUCCAGGAGUUUGGUUCAGAGAGAGCAAGGGAGGAGGAGCUGCCAAUGCUGCUGUGUGGGGAGCAAGUGCCAGUUCAGGGAGUGAACAGAACUGAGCAGUGAUCUCUUCUGCAGGGAAGGGGUGAGGAGAGACGGCCCCCUUUCUCAUGAAACCAUGUAAUUGGUUAUAAUGCUCAUUUUUCACCAUUCAAUAGCACAGCGUGUUAAGUAAUGAAAGUUUUUAAAUAUUUCAUAUGCAUCUGGUUCGUUCCUGAUUUGAAGAAACAAAGGCAAGAAAGCCUUUCUGAUUGCUUGCUCCCUCUGAGGGCCUUGCUCUUGCUGCUUCCUGAGGAAAGUUGUCUCCCUUUAUCUUUUUUUAGCAAUGGAUGCUGAUUUAACCUCCCAGGAAAUCAUGUCUUUUCUUCUGUGUUGCUUUUAGUAUCUCCAGGAAGUGGCAGGUGGCACCACUCAGGAGAUGACUUUGAUGGCCCCAUGUCCUCUCUGUUUCAUUACCCAGGCAGGAGGUGGGACUGCUGUUACACCUUGUUCCCAGCUGUUUUCUGCUCCCAAGGCUGUGCCACCCAUCUCGUUGCUGUGGCUUUCUCUUGUGGGGCCUGGGGACAGAUGCAGAAGCCAGGUGACACGGAUGCUUUGCUGCCAGCGCGGGGCCUGAGGCUGUAUCCUGGUGGAGCCUGGGCAGGGGCUGAUCGGCUCAGGAGAGAUGGGAUGGGACAGGGUCUGCCCUAAUGCUGAAGGCCCAGCUCAAACCUCUGGGGGCGGGAGACCCUGUGCUGAUAGCCAGAAGUCAGAGCACGUUGCUUCCUUCUGCUGUGGUGUCUCUGCCAUCUGCAAAUCCCUCCAGCAGCGGCACCCUGCCUCUGCCUUGUUCCCACUUUGUUUAGGCUAAAGCCAGUGGGUCUGUCUUCAAAGCAAAGUGCGGCUUUCCCUGUGGAAAAAUCUCACUCCUGACUUUUGCUCUGUCCCCACAUCAAGCCAGCUUUCAGUGCACUGCCUGUAAGCAACUGUUAUUUUUUGUGUUUGUCCUGCAGUGAGCCAUAGCGUUCUGUGUCACCAUACCUCUAGACAAGGCUGUGAAAGCAGUUGAGGACUUUUCCAACAACUGAUGCCUGCUGCUGCUGCUCACAGCCAGCACAAAGCCUUCCCACUGCCAGGCCUGCCUGCUCUGGGCUGCUGUGUUUAUUUCUGGGGUUAGAGGGGAAGGGGGGGGAACUGUAUCUGGGUAUUUUAAUUAGAUAAUAAUAAUGGAAACAAGUGGCACUAUGGCCACUUCCUAAACAGAGACAUCUGUUUGUAGAGUCCUGGCCCUAUUGGAGAGCACUAGGUAGGACUCAUCAGGCCAAGUCGUCGCUGCAGCUGUGCUGGGCAGCCCUGGAGCCCACUGGCUCCUCACAGGGGUGCUGGAGCACACUGGGGGCAUCGCUCCCCUCCCACUGCCCAUGCACUGCUGGAUGUGGCACAGCACUGCUACAUACAAAACCCUACUGAAGUUAUUUGCCUCAGUCUCACACAUCUGAGUCUUGUAACUUUGCUGCUGGUUCAUUUUCAGGAGGGACAGGAUAUAUUACGGAGCUAAAUUCUCACGGGCAAAUAAUAAGUCCUAGCACCUGCUGGCUGGAACCCACAGGCUGUGACCUGUCUCCUCCAAUGUUUGUAUUUUCCUCUGCGGGAAAGAGCAACAUGGUAAAGAAUUCCUAUUAUUUCAAAUAUUUCACCAUGGUGUUAUCUAGCCUAGUCUAAACAAUGGUCCCGAUUGCUCUUGAGAGUUGUACUCUGCAGGAGAAAACGGUAACAAAUGUUGUUAUUCCCAACGUGAUCCCCCCCACUACGGGGACACAGAUAUUUGUGACAUGGAAUGGCAGUGUGCUCCUGGAAGCAUCAAUCCAGAUAUGUUAGCUGAAAAAGAGGAAAAAAUUGCCUCCCUUGCCAAAUUCCAAACUGAUCCACCCAGAAGAAGAUCCAUGCUGUGAUGCUUCUGUCCUGGACGUGCCAUUUGUUGAUGCAGGAAGUGGAUCACAUCCCAGGCUCUGGGAAUGUGCAGGAUGUGUCACUUGCCCCAUUGCCUUACAAACGAUAAAUCUCUAAAACCUCACUAAAAGCUGUAAUACUGCAAAAGCUGCAGCCAUGGCAAUUAUUUGCCUUCAUGUUCACUGACCCACUGAAGGAACCAGGCUGUGAACACCCUGACUCUAGUGGGAAAUGCCUGGACAGCCAGACCUGACCCAAAUGUCCAAACACAGCCAAACUUCAGCCUGAAUACACAUAACACAGUUAAUCCCGACUUAAUUUAUGGCAGCCUGAACCUGAAUGUGAACUCACCCACUGUGUUACCAGAGAUCCGAACCUGGAUUUGGCUCCCAAAUAGCUUGGGUCUAGGUCUUGAAAUUACCCAGUUGUUGGCUGCAGUCUGCUUUGGAGCUGGAGAUUUAUUUCUCCAGGAGGCAGGAAAACACAUUGUGUUGCCAAACUACUUCCAGUCUUUUCCAGAAUUACAAGUCAGGGGAUGGUGGGUAAGUCUUGUGAUUUUCAUCCUACAAUCUAAACCAGAUGGACUACUCUCGCAGCAUAAAUAUUUAAGCAAAAAAAAAGCAAAAAAAAAAAAAAAAAGUUCAGUUUCUUAAUUAAUUGCAUUAUUAUGACUUGCACUAUUUAACAGGAUGCGCAUAAAGCUGGUUUACAAGAUAGCUUGAUCACCUUCUUUGAUUCAUCUCAAUAAAAUCUGGAGUUUUUGUUUUCUCAGGGAUAAUGAAGUAACUGUAGAAUAAUAAAGCGGCUCUGCUUAUUGGAAACAGAAAGCUCUCAGCUUUCGGAAGAAAAGAUCCUCUCGGUGAAGCUCGUGCUGUAUUAAUCCAAAAAUACAAAUAAGUGGAGGUGAUCUGGAAAGCCUGUGUUACUGACAUCAGCCCAGCAUUUCUGCCACUGAAGAUCCUCUUCUCCGGCCUCAACUCAAAAAAUCUUUGUGGCAGAUUUGGCAUUGCCUGUAAUAAUUUAUGAACGUGAUGUGUUGACAUGUUUACUGUGUGCAUACAUUGAGCUACUUCAAUCGCUGCCUUGUCAGGAAGUGUACCCAGGAGAGAACAGAUGAAUCCAGGCACGCGGUUUGGAGGAAACACUGGGGAGCUGAAGCAUGCGCCCUUUGCUGUGACAUUUUGGCUGGGCCCCUGCUGGGCUCACAGGAGAGAUUUCCCUGGGAGAACAUGGGUGCCUGUGAAGGAAGGCACAGAAGGCCCUGGGGGAUUCACAGUGAACCAUUUAAAUGGAGGCUUUGGAGAGUGAGAACCUGAAAGGGGCUGAAAGCGCUCCGAUCUGCAGGUACCUAAUUCAGUACAUGUUGGCGAUAAAGGGGAUGUGGAACAUUUGUUUAACCGCCGUGCCUUAUUUCAGUGGUGAAAUGGCUCUUCUGUUUUAUAAACAUGGUUUAGGUUGCACAAGAGAGCUGGAUGCCUCUGUUCCCAGGUCCAUGUGGGAAUCAUGGUGAUUGUGCUGGGUAGGCUGGCUGGAGUUUGGCAAAGCUACAUCAGCCUGCCUGCAGGAAGGUGAGAGCUUGAGGCCUGGCGGCCUUCCCCAGACGGGAAGGCAGAAAGGCCACUGAUAGCUGAGAUCCAGCAGUAACCAUAACAAUACCAUCAUCUUUCUUAAAAGUCCCAGCACGUAAUUCUACUAAUGACUUUUAUUAAACAUUUAAGCCUUA
This is an RNA transcript of Gallus gallus (chicken), 14407 nucleotides long. It is a transcript of the gene named EF-hand calcium binding domain 11, with no coding region annotated. The record is from RefSeq and is a predicted model, not a curated record. The transcript has 14 exons. NCBI's taxonomy places the organism in Eukaryota, Metazoa, Chordata, Aves, Galliformes, Phasianidae.